CACGCCAUAAACGAUGAAUGCUAGGUAUUGGGGUUACUCAGUGCCGACGUAAACACAAUAAGCAUUCCGCCUGGGGAGUACGUGCGCAAGCAUGAAACUCAAAGGAAUUGACGGGGACCCGCACAAGCAGCGGAGCAUGUGGUUUAAUUCGAAGCAACGCGAAGAACCUUACCUAGACUUGACAUCUCCUGCAUUACUCUUAAUCGAGGAAGUCCCUUCGGGGACAGGAUGACAGGUGG
RNAcentral lists this ribosomal RNA (239 nucleotides) under uncultured Eubacteriales bacterium. RNAcentral's name for it is "uncultured Clostridiales bacterium partial 16S ribosomal RNA". It matches the Rfam family "Bacterial small subunit ribosomal RNA", at positions 796 to 1041 of the family's 1533-position model. Lineage: Bacteria; Bacillati; Bacillota; Clostridia; Eubacteriales. The record is from RNAcentral.